CAAGGUCAACCCAACCCAAGGUCAACCAAGGUCAACCCAACUCAACCCAAAAUCAACCAAACCCAACCCAACCCAACUCAAGGUCAUCCAAGGUCAACAAAUUCCAACUCAAUGUCAACCAAGGUCAACCCAACCAAACCCAACACAACCCAACAAAACCCAACUCAACGUCAACCAAAGUCAACCCAACCAAACCCAACCAAACCCAACUCAGCAUCAACCCAACCCAACUCAAAGUCAACCCAAGGUCAAACAAGGUCAACCCAACUCAAGUAAAGUCAAAGUUCACCAAAGCCAACUCAAGGUCAACCAAGGUCAACCCAACCCAAUCAAAAGUCAACCAAACCCAACCCAGUUCAAGCCAGAGUCAACCAAACCCAAGUCAAGGUCAACCAAGGUCAACCAAACCCAUCCCAACCCAAGUUCAAAGUCAACCAAAUCCAAGUCAAAGUCAACUCAACCCAACCCAAGGUCAACCAAACCCAACCGAACUAAAGUAAACUCAAAGUCAACUCAACCCAACCAAAAGUCAACCAAGGUCAACCCAACCCAACUCAAAGUCAACCCAACCCAACCUAAGGUCAACCAAGGUCAACCCAAUCCAAGUCAAGGUCAACCAAACCCAACCCAAGAUCAACCCAAGUCAAGGUCAACCCAACCCUUGGUCAACCCAACCAAUGGUCAGCAAGGCCAAACCAACCCAACGACCAACGCGAGUCAAGACCGGACAAUCGAUGGUCAACGUCAAGACCAACCCAACGGUCAUCUCAAGACCAACCCAAUGGUCAGCUCAAGAUCAAGACCACCCCAGUGGUCAGCCCAAUUAACCGUUCACGAAAUCAAGACCAACCCAACGGUCAUCUCCAUCCAU
RNAcentral lists this long non-coding RNA (871 nucleotides) under Junco hyemalis (dark-eyed junco). Its description in RNAcentral is "lncRNA (ENSJHYG00000000545.1)". Lineage: Eukaryota; Metazoa; Chordata; Aves; Passeriformes; Passerellidae. The record is from RNAcentral.